CCACUGACGCGACUCAUGUAAAUAGAACCACCCACAUUUAAUUUUUUAGCAAAUCGCCUAUUCCAUGGGCUUGGAGCUGCAGUUCCAUCAGCACCUAUGUUAAUCCGGCCCUGCGAAACACAGAUAUUGGGUCAUAAUGCAAAGCGCCACAUUUGGUGAAAACCAAACAUAUCAUAUCAGAACAAACACCUCAUACCAACUGUCAAGCACGGUGGUGGAGGGGUGAUGAUUUGGGCUUGUUUUGCAGCCACAUGAUCUGGGAUGUCAAAUAUGAGACCAUCUGUCCAACAACUAAAGCUUGGCCAAAAUUGGGUAAUGCUACAGGAUAAUGACCACCAACUCUACAACAGAAUGGCUGAAAAAGGAGAGAAUCAAUGUAUUGCAACG
This is a non-coding RNA of Pelobates cultripes (western spadefoot toad), 387 nucleotides long. The record is from the annotation of a GenBank genome assembly. Lineage: Eukaryota; Metazoa; Chordata; Amphibia; Anura; Pelobatidae.